Priapulus caudatus is the source of this 473-nucleotide long non-coding RNA. RefSeq lists it as uncharacterized. The transcript is spliced from 2 exons. Lineage: Eukaryota; Metazoa; Priapulida; Priapulimorpha; Priapulimorphida; Priapulidae. The record is from RefSeq and is a predicted model, not a curated record.
AGUAGUAGUACAGUUUAGUUACACGUUACAACGUAGGGUAGUACAGUUUUGUUACACGGUAAAACGUAGGAUAGUAGUAGUACAGUUUAGUUACACGUUAAAACGUAGGGUAGUACAGUUUUGUUACACGUUAAAACGUAGGAUAGUAGUAGUACAGUUUUGUUAUACGUUUAAAACGUAGGGUAGUACAGUUUAGUUACACGUUAAAACGUAGGAUAGCACAGUUUUGUUACACGUUAAAACGUAGGGUAGCGCAGUUUUGUUACACGUUAAAAGGUAGGAUAGUACAGUUUAGUUACACGUUAAAACGUAGGAUAGUACAGUUUAGUUACACGUUAAAACGUAGGAUAGUACAGUUUUGUUACACGUUAAAACGUUGGGUGGUACAGUUUAGUCACACGUUACAACGUAGGGUAGCGCAGUUUAGUUACACGUUAAAACGUAGGAUAGUACAGUUUUGUUACACGUUAAAA